GAUGAAGAACGUAGCGAAAUGCGAUAAGUAAUGUGAAUUGCAGAAUUCAGUGAAUCAUCGAAUCUUUGAACGCACAUUGCGCCCUUUGGUAUUCCAAAGGGCAUGCCUGUUCGAGCGUCAUUUGUACCUUCAAGCUUUGCUUGGUGUUGGGCGUUUUUUGUCUCCCUCUUUCUGGGAGACUCGCCUUAAAACGAUUGGCAGCCGGCCUACUGGUUUCGGAGCGCAGCACAUAUUUUGCGCUUUGUAUCAGGAGAAAAGGACGGUAAUCCAUCAAGACUCUACAUUUUUAACUUUUGACCUCGGAUCAGGUAGGGAUACCCGCUGAACUUAAGCAUAUCAAUAAGCGGAGGA
RNAcentral lists this unclassified non-coding RNA (351 nucleotides) under soil metagenome. RNAcentral's name for it is "partial contains 5.8S ribosomal RNA, internal transcribed spacer 2, and large subunit ribosomal RNA". The stretch from base 1 to 120 matches the Rfam family "5.8S ribosomal RNA", at positions 35 to 154 of the family's 154-position model. The record is from RNAcentral.